RNAcentral lists this ribosomal RNA (468 nucleotides) under uncultured bacterium. RNAcentral describes it as "partial 16S ribosomal RNA". It matches the Rfam family "Bacterial small subunit ribosomal RNA", at positions 28 to 507 of the family's 1533-position model. The record is from RNAcentral.
GACGAACGCUGGCGGCGUGCUUAACACAUGCAAGUCGAACGGAAAGGCCCUGCUUUUGUGGGGUGCUCGAGUGGCGAACGGGUGAGUAACACGUGAGUAACCUGCCCUUGACUUUGGGAUAACUUCAGGAAACUGGGGCUAAUACCGGAUAGGAGCUCCUGCUGCAUGGUGGGGGUUGGAAAGUUUCGGCGGUUGGGGAUGGACUCGCGGCUUAUCAGCUUGUUGGUGGGGUAGUGGCUUACCAAGGCUUUGACGGGUAGCCGGCCUGAGAGGGUGACCGGCGACAUUGGGACUGAGGGACGGCCCAGACUGCUACGGGAGGCAGCAGGGGGGAAUAUUGCACAAUGGGCGGAGGGCUGAUGCAGCAGCGCCGCGGGCGGGGUGACGGCCUUCGGGGUGUAAACCGCUUUCGCCUGUGACGAAGCGUGUGUGGAGGUAAUGGGUAAAGAAGCACCGGCUAACUACGUG